UAUGAGCAUUACAAAUCAUAUCAGUUUUUCAAAAGAUUUUUUUAAGCAAUGCAAAUUUAAAAAUGAGUAAGAAUUGUUAAAAUAUGUUUUAAAUAAAGGAAUAUUUUAACUUGAGAGAGCUGAGAAAUGUAAGGUUAAUAGAAAAUGAGAAAAUAUUUAACCUUUUUAACUUUCGAUUAAGAUUAUGAUAAUAGACAAUUCACAAUCACUGAUGAUAAAUAAGAGAGUAUUGAACUACAUUUUGAUGCUACUGAAAAAAUAAGUUGUCUGCUGUGGUGUACUUGCUGUUAACUUUUCACUUUGGAGGAUCAUGUGGUUAAUUAAGGUAUAGAAGAAGUUUUCAUCUAUGGGCUUCCGGCUCGUUUCGUUCAUUAUCUACGAACUACGAUCAUCAUCAAUCAUCAUUUUGUCUUCGCUUUUGGAAAGGAAGGCAUGUCACCAUUUUUGCUGUUCAUAAAUAGAAACGACACCUGAAGGUAUUUAGCCCUAAUACUUAUUCAAAUUUCAUUUGAUUGUGUGGAAUGCGUUUCAAUUUAACGUUUGA
Molecule: long non-coding RNA, 544 nt
Organism: Agrilus planipennis (emerald ash borer)
Lineage: Eukaryota; Metazoa; Arthropoda; Insecta; Coleoptera; Buprestidae
Exons: 3
Source: RefSeq, a predicted model, not a curated record